RNAcentral lists this long non-coding RNA (621 nucleotides) under Sus scrofa (pig). RNAcentral describes it as "lncRNA (ENSSSCG00030021694.1)". The record is from RNAcentral. Lineage: Eukaryota; Metazoa; Chordata; Mammalia; Artiodactyla; Suidae.
CUGAAAUACUGUGAAUAAUGUUAUAAAAAGUUCUUGAACUUUUGUAACAUUGCAUCUGACAAUAUUUUAUAGGAUCGAAGUCUAAGACUAGAAGUAAAGAGGAAAUUCCUUUCACUUUAGUUUGAAGAAACAGAUGAGACUCUGGACAAAGACUGCAAGCAAAGGAAGAACCAGUCACUUCACACAGAGCAUGGGAGUUUUGGCAUCACCAGUUCCAGUGAAGAAGCAAGUAACAGCAUGGGUAUUUUAGCUCACAUAUAAAAUGAAACAAACCAGAGCGAGAGAAAGAGAAUCCUGUUUCAGUACAGAUAACCUUGGUAAGUAAAAGUGUCAGAACGUUAAUACUCACUUGUUCUUUGAUGCACAAGUGUUACCAAGUCCACUGAUCACUGCAUGACAGACCAAUAGAUGGAGAGUUGAGGUGUUGGGACAAGGAAUAAUGACUUUAUUCAGAAAGCCAGCAGACUAAGAGGAUGGCAGACUAGUGUCCCAAAGAACCAUCUUACCCAAGUUAGAAUUCAGGCUUCUUUUAUACUAAAAAGGGAGGGGGCGUGGCUAUUGUUGCAAAAUGUUUUGGUGCAGGACUCUUUUAUUCUUCUAGCUCUCCGCAUAGGUCUGGGC